Pongo pygmaeus (Bornean orangutan) is the source of this 1104-nucleotide long non-coding RNA. RefSeq lists it as uncharacterized. NCBI's taxonomy places the organism in Eukaryota, Metazoa, Chordata, Mammalia, Primates, Hominidae. The transcript has 3 exons. The record is from RefSeq and is a predicted model, not a curated record.
UAUCCCCUGUGACCUGCAUGUAUACAUCCAGAUGGCCUGAAGCAACUGAAAAUCCACAAAACAAGUGAAAAUAGCUUUAACUGAUGACAUUCCACCAUUGUGAUUUGUUCCUGCCCUAACUGAAAAGAUAUAUUCUCCCCCACCCUUAAGAAGGUACUUUGUAAUAUUCUUCCCCUGCCCUUAAGAAGGUACUUUGUAAUAUUCUCCCCCCACCCUUAAGAAGGUACUUUGUACACCUAUCCCAAAUCUAUAAGAACUAAUGAUAAUCCUACCACCCUUUACUGCCUCCUUUUUUGGACUCAGCCCACCUGCACCCAGGUGAAAUAAACAGCCUUGUGGCUCACACAAAGCCUGUUUGGUGGUCUCUUCACACAGACAUGUGAGACAUUUGGUGCUGAAGACCGGGUCAGCAGGAUUCCUUUGGGAGACCAGUCCCCUGUCCUCACCCUCACUCCAUGAAGAGAUCCACCUAUGACCUCGGGUCCUCAGACCAACCAGCCCAAGGAACAUCUCACCAAUUUUAAAUCUGGACCCCACUGGAAAUCAGACAGUCCAGCUCGCCUGGUAGCCACUCCCAGAGCCCCUGGAACACUGGCCCAAGGCUCUCUGACUCCUUUGCAGAUCUUCCUGGCUUAGCAGCUGAAGACUGACACUGCCUGAUUGCCUCAGAAACCUCCUGGACCAUCAUGGAUGCUUUGGGUAACUCUCACAGUGGAGGACAGGAAUGUCAGGCCUCUGAGCCCAAGAUAAGCCAUCAUAUCCCCUGUGACCUGCAUGUAUACAUCCAGAUGGCCUGAAGCAACUGAAGAUCCACAAAAGAAGUGAAAAUAGCCUUAACUGAUGACAUUCCACCAUUUUGAUUUGUUCCUGCCCUACCCUAACUGAAAAGAUAUAUUCUCCCCUGCCCUUAAGAAGGUACUUUGUAAUAUUCUUCCCCACCCUUAAGAAGGUACUUUGUAAUAUUCUCCCCCCCGCCCUUAAGAAGGUACUUUGUACACCUAUCCCAAACCUAUAAGAACUAAUGAUAAUCCCACCACCCUUUACUGACUCCUUUUUUGGACUCAGUCCACCUGCACCCAGGUGAAAUAAACAGCCUUGUUGCUC